CCCUUAGACGUUCUGGGCUGCACGCGCGCUACAAUAAUACGCACAGCGAGUAUCACCGAGCUCGAAAGGGCAAGGUAAACAAUAGAAAAGGUACUGUAAUGGUUAUAGAUCCUUGUAAUUAUUGAUCUUCAACGAGGAAUUCCUAGUAAGUAUGUGUCAUCAUCACGCACUGAUUACGUCCCUGCCCUUUGUACACACCGCCCGUCGCUCCUACCGAUUGAGUGAGCCGAUGAAACUGCCGGAUGUGGACUAUUCAUAGUCUGCAGAAGAUAUUUGAAUCGUAGCGCUUAGAGGAAGGAGAAGUCGUAACA
RNAcentral lists this ribosomal RNA (311 nucleotides) under uncultured eukaryote. RNAcentral describes it as "partial 18S ribosomal RNA". It matches the Rfam family "Eukaryotic small subunit ribosomal RNA", at positions 1470 to 1796 of the family's 1831-position model. The record is from RNAcentral.